This 254-nucleotide ribosomal RNA is filed under the name uncultured bacterium. Its description in RNAcentral is "partial 16S ribosomal RNA". It matches the Rfam family "Bacterial small subunit ribosomal RNA", at positions 524 to 776 of the family's 1533-position model. The record is from RNAcentral.
UACGUAGGGCGCAAGCGUUGUCCGGAAUUAUUGGGCGUAAAGAGCUCGUAGGCGGUUUGUCGCGUCUGCUGUGAAAACCUAAGGCUCAACCUUGGGCUUGCAGUGGGUACGGGCAGACUAGAGUGCGGUAGGGGUGACUGGAAUUCCUGGUGUAGCGGUGGAAUGCGCAGAUACCAGGAGGAACACCGAUGGCGAAGGCAGGUCACUGGGCCGCAACUGACGCUGAGGAGGCGAAAGCAUGGGGAGCGAACAGG